This 497-nucleotide ribosomal RNA is filed under the name uncultured bacterium. Its description in RNAcentral is "partial 16S ribosomal RNA". It matches the Rfam family "Bacterial small subunit ribosomal RNA", at positions 28 to 507 of the family's 1533-position model. The record is from RNAcentral.
GAUGAACGCUGGCGGCGUGCCUAAUACAUGCAAGUCGAGCGAACGGACGAGAAGCUUGCUUCUCUGAUGUUAGCUGCGGACGGGUGAGUAACACGUGGAUAACCUACCUAUAAGACUGGGAUAACUUCGGGAAACCGGAGCUAAUACCGGAUGAUAUUUUGAACCGCGUGGUUCAAAAGUGAAAGACGGUCUUGCUGUCACUUAUAGAUGGAUCCGCGCUGCAUUAGCUAGUUGGUAAGGUAACGGCUUACCAAGGCAACGAUGCAUAGCCGACCUGAGAGGGUGAUCGGCCACACUGGAACUGAGACACGGUCCAGACUCCUACGGGAGGCAGCAGUAGGGAAUCUUCCGCAAUGGGCGAAAGCCUGACGGAGCAACGCCGCGUGAGUGAUGAAGGUCUUCGGAUCGUAAAACUCUGUUAUUAGGGAAGAACAUAUGUGUAAGUAACUGUGCACAUCUUGACGGUACCUAAUCAGAAAGCCACGGCUAACUACGUG